AACGAACGCUGGCGGCAUGCCUAACACAUGCAAGUCGAACGAGACCUUCGGGUCUAGUGGCGCACGGGUGCGUAACGCGUGGGAACCUGCCCUUAGGUUCGGAAUAACUCCCCGAAAGGGGUGCUAAUACCGGACAAUGUCUUCGGACCAAAGAUAUAUCGCGUUUGGAUGGGCCCGCGUUGGAUUAGCUAGUUGGUAGGGUAAAAGCCUACCAAGGCGACGAUCCAUAGCUGGUCUGAGAGGAUGAUCAGCCACACUGGGACUGAGACACGGCCCAGACUCCUACGGGAGGCAGCAGUGGGGAAUAUUGGACAAUGGGCGAAAGCCUGAUCCAGCAAUGCCGCGUGAGUGAUGAAGGCCUUAGGGUUGUAAAGCUCUUUUACCCGGGAUGAUAAUGACAGUACCGGGAGAAUAAGCUCCGGCUAACUCCGUG
RNAcentral lists this ribosomal RNA (433 nucleotides) under uncultured bacterium. Its description in RNAcentral is "partial 16S ribosomal RNA". It matches the Rfam family "Bacterial small subunit ribosomal RNA", at positions 29 to 507 of the family's 1533-position model. The record is from RNAcentral.